GAAUUCGAUUAGAGUUUGAUCAUGGCUCAGAUUGAACGCUGGCGGCAUGCCUUACACAUGCAAGUCGAACGGCAGCAUGAUCUACCUUGCUAGAUUGAUGGCGAGUGGCGAACGGGUGAGUAAUACAUCGGAACGUGCCCUGUAGUGGGGGAUAACUAGUCGAAAGAUUAGCUAAUACCGCAUACGACCUGAGGGUGAAAGUGGGGGACCGCAAGGCCUCAUGCUAUAGGAGCGGCCGAUGUCUGAUUAGCUAGUUGGUGAGGUAAAGGCUCACCAAGGCGACGAUCAGUAGCUGGUCUGAGAGGACGAUCAGCCACACUGGGACUGAGACACGGCCCAGACUCCUACGGGAGGCAGCAGUGGGGAAUUUUGGACAAUGGGGGCAACCCUGAUCCAGCAAUGCCGCGUGUGUGAAGAAGGCCUUCGGGUUGUAAAGCACUUUUGUCCGGAAAGAAAUCGCACUUACUAAUAUUAGGUGUGGAUGACGGUACCGGAAGAAUAAGGACCGGCUAACUACGUGCCAGCAGCCGCGGUAAUACGUAGGGUCCAAGCGUUAAUCGGAAUUACUGGGCGUAAAGCGUGCGCAGGCGGUUGUGCAAGACCGAUGUGAAAUCCCCGGGCUUAACCUGGGAAUUGCAUUGGUGACUGCACGGCUAGAGUGUGUCAGAGGGGGGUAGAAUUCCACGUGUAGCAGUGAAAUGCGUAGAGAUGUGGAGGAAUACCGAUGGCGAAGGCAGCCCCCUGGGAUAACACUGACGCUCAUGCACGAAAGCGUGGGGAGCAAACAGGAUUAGAUACCCUGGUAGUCCACGCCCUAAACGAUGUCAACUAGUUGUUGGGGAUUCAUUUCCUUAGUAACGUAGCUAACGCGUGAAGUUGACCGCCUGGGGAGUACGGUCGCAAGAUUAAAACUCAAAGGAAUUGACGGGGACCCGCACAAGCGGUGGAUGAUGUGGAUUAAUUCGAUGCAACGCGAAAAACCUUACCUACCCUUGACAUGCCACUAACGAAGCAGAGAUGCAUUAGGUGCUCGAAAGAGAAAGUGGACACAGGUGCUGCAUGGCUGUCGUCAGCUCGUGUCGUGAGAUGUUGGGUUAAGUCCCGCAACGAGCGCAACCCUUGUCUCUAGUUGCUACGAAAGGGCACUCUAGAGAGACUGCCGGUGACAAACCGGAGGAAGGUGGGGAUGACGUCAAGUCCUCAUGGCCCUUAUGGGUAGGGCUUCACACGUCAUACAAUGGUGCAUACGGAGGGUUGCCAAGCCGCGAGGUGGAGCUAAUCCCAGAAAAUGCAUCGUAGUCCGGAUCGUAGUCUGCAACUCGACUACGUGAAGCUGGAAUCGCUAGUAAUCGCGGAUCAGCAUGCCGCGGUGAAUACGUUCCGCGGGUCUUGUAG
Molecule: ribosomal RNA, 1395 nt
Filed under: uncultured bacterium
Lineage: Bacteria
Description: bacterial SSU rRNA
Rfam family: Bacterial small subunit ribosomal RNA
Source: RNAcentral